Molecule: ribosomal RNA, 262 nt
Filed under: uncultured bacterium
Lineage: Bacteria
Description: partial 16S ribosomal RNA
Source: RNAcentral
CUGCUGCCUCCCGUAGGAGUCUGGGCCGUGUCUCAGUCCCAGUGUGGCCGGCCACCCUCUCAGGCCGGCUACCCAUCGUCGCCUUGGUAGGCCAUUACCCUACCAACUAGCUAAUGGGACGUGAGUCCAUCUUUCAGCGUCAGGUCUCCCCAACUUUUCCUAUAUAAACAUGCACUUAUAUAACUCAUCCGGCAUUAGCUCACCUUUCGGUAAGUUGUUCCAGUCUAAAAGGCAGGUCACUCACGUGUUACCCACCCGUGCG